RNAcentral lists this ribosomal RNA (555 nucleotides) under Craugastor crassidigitus (slim-fingered rain frog). Its description in RNAcentral is "partial 16S ribosomal RNA". It matches the Rfam family "Bacterial large subunit ribosomal RNA", at positions 1817 to 2597 of the family's 2925-position model. The record is from RNAcentral. Lineage: Eukaryota; Metazoa; Chordata; Amphibia; Anura; Craugastoridae.
CGCCUCUUGAUAACAUAAGAGGUCCAGCCUGCCCAGUGAGUAAUUAAACGGCCGCGGUAUACUAACCGUGCGAAGGUAGCGCAAUCACUUGUUCCUUAAAUAGGGACCUGUAUGAACGGCAUCACGAGGAUUUAACUGUCUCCCCCCUCUGAUCUGUGAAACUAAUCUCCCUGUGAAAAAGCAGGGAUAAAUAUAUAAGACGAGAAGACCCUAUGGAACUUUAAACAAAUAAUACCUGCUCCCCCCCCCCUCCUUUUUUCCUGAAAACAAGCACCCACGAGCAUGCUAACUAAAAGUUUUCGGUUGGGGUGACCACGGAGAAAAACCCAUCCUCCGCGAUGAAAUUCUAAACUAUAAGCCACAGCUUUAAGAAUCAGUAAACUGACAUUAUUGACCCAAACUUUUGAUCAACGAACCAAGCUACCCUAGGGAUAACAGCGCAAUCUACUUCGAGAGCACAUAUCGACAAGUAGGCUUACGACCUCGAUGUUGGAUCAGGGUCCCCUGGUGGUGCAGCCGCUACAAAAGGUUCGUUUGUUCAACGAUUAAAACCCU